Molecule: non-coding RNA, 695 nt
Organism: Aegilops tauschii subsp. strangulata
Lineage: Eukaryota; Viridiplantae; Streptophyta; Magnoliopsida; Poales; Poaceae
Source: RefSeq, a predicted model, not a curated record
GGCUAGCUUCCUUUUCCUUAUAAGUUGUGCCCCACUUAUAUAUUUGGCAAGCUUAUGAUCUUACUAACAAUGGUACUAAUGCGACAUCUAUAGCCCUGCCCUGCGAAUUGCUUUUGUUAUGUGCAAGUAUGAGAUCUGAUGUUGUAGGAACACAAUGUAUUUUUACACCCACUGCUUUAAGAUGCUUUUGUACACGCCCCUGCAUAUUGCUGUUCUACUAUGGAGGCUUCUUAUGCCUGGUGCUUGCUUCUAUUAACCAACUCUGUUGAUAGACUGCCAUCAAAUGAAGUACGGUACAGAUGAGACAUUCAGCAAUGACUACCUAAUACCACCGUCUUCAUGUCUUGGUCUUUUCAUCUGGCAGUAGAUACAAGACUCAGCCUAAUGUUAAGAGACAAGUGCUAUAUCUAUGAUGCAUCUCUCCUAAUACAACUUGGUUUAUAAAGCCAAUGUUUGAUCUCUACCAGCACAAGAAGCUUGAUGAGCAAGAAGCACUAGAACUGGAGGCAAAAGGCUGUAGCUUUUCUGUUCUGUAACACCAUUCUAGCCAAGUUGAUGGAGUUUCUAAUGUCACUGCUUGUUGAGCUGUGAUUUAUUUUCGCCGUUCAUAAUCAGUCUUGCCCAUGAUGUACCACAAAUGAUCCUCUAAUGCAAUGUAACACUUGAUAUGUAUUUAUGUCUCUUCUGUUGGUUCA